RNAcentral lists this ribosomal RNA (323 nucleotides) under Gloeochaete wittrockiana. Its description in RNAcentral is "partial Bacterial large subunit ribosomal RNA". It matches the Rfam family "Bacterial large subunit ribosomal RNA", at positions 2602 to 2925 of the family's 2925-position model. Lineage: Eukaryota; Glaucocystophyceae; Gloeochaetales; Gloeochaetaceae. The record is from RNAcentral.
GAGCUGGGUUCAGAACGUCGUGAGACAGUUCGGUCCAUAUCCGGUGUAGGCGUUAGAGCAUUGAGAGGAGCUCUCCCUAGUACGAGAGGAUCGGGAGGGACACACCUAUGGUGUAUCAGUUAUUGUGCCAACAGUAUAUGCUGGGUAGCCAAGUGUGGGGAGGAUAACCGCUGAAAGCAUCUAAGUGGGAAGCCCACCUCAAGAUGAGUGCUCUCAUCGUAAUUUUACGAGUAAGAUCACGGCAAGACAAGCCGUUAAUAGGUAUCAAGUGUAAACGUAGUAAUGCGUGUAGCUGAGAUAUACUAAUAGAUCGAGGACUUGAU